UACGGAGGGUGCAAGCGUUAUCCGGAUUCACUGGGUUUAAAGGGUGCGUAGGCGGGCAGAUAAGUCAGUGGUGAAAUCUCUGGGCUUAACCCAGAAACUGCCGUUGAUACUAUUUGUCUUGAAUAUCAUGGAGGUAAGCGGAAUAUGUCAUGUAGCGGUGAAAUGCUUAGAUAUGACAUAGAACACCAAUUGCGAAGGCAGCUGGCUACACAUAUAUUGACACUGAGGCACGAAAGCGUGGGGAUCAAACAGG
RNAcentral lists this ribosomal RNA (253 nucleotides) under uncultured bacterium. RNAcentral describes it as "partial 16S ribosomal RNA". It matches the Rfam family "Bacterial small subunit ribosomal RNA", at positions 524 to 776 of the family's 1533-position model. The record is from RNAcentral.